Molecule: long non-coding RNA, 2546 nt
Organism: Columba livia (rock pigeon)
Lineage: Eukaryota; Metazoa; Chordata; Aves; Columbiformes; Columbidae
Exons: 4
Source: RefSeq, a predicted model, not a curated record
CGUCCUGCUGGGUGAUGUCUCAUCUUCUCUUUAUGUGACAGAGAGGUCAUGGUUUGUGACCAAGGGUCCCACUGAUGGCAGCAAUCCAGUGAGACAUAAACAAGCUGAAGCCUCUGAUUACUAAUGCCCCCGUGGGGAGGACAUACCUAACCAUGCCCCAGAGACCCAUAACUGCCUGGUAGCAGCCAAGCAAAUGCCAGCCUGCUGAUGGGGUCUCAAUCCUUUAUCUGCUCACCUAGAUUUGUGGAAGUAUAGGAUAUAAAGUCAAGAAGAUCUUAAUAUGGCUAGAACUGCUACCCUCUCAAUCAAAUUUCAUUGCAACUUGAAGAGAGGGCAGUGAGCACACACCAAGGGAGAUGGACAAAAUGCUUUGUUAAGCCUCUUUCCAGCAGAAACCGGGUGGAAAUGAACCUUGACUGGAGUGAGGCUCGAUCUGUGAACGCUUUUGAGACUGGCAGCUGCUGGGCGGCUGCUAACACCUCGCAGCACUGCUGCUAACACCUCUCUGCCUGCUGCCAGAUCCCUGUGGGCUGACAGAUCCCUGCCAGCCAGGCCAGUGGUUGCAGUGACACACACACACACACAUGCAGGCUGCCAGGAGUGGUGCAGGGAGGAUGCUUCAGCUGCUGAGCACUUGAUUAACUGCGUCAGCUGAGAGGUGCCAAGGGGAAAAAGAAACUCCCACCAUGGAGCAGAGAGCCCCAGUGGCCAGAUGCACUAUCAACACAACCUCAGCAGAGCUACAGGGAUGUUUAUAAAGCAAGGCUGAAGCACCUGCAAUCCACAAAUAAGAGUUAUGCACGCUCCUGCCUGCAGGCUGUGGGGCAGGAGAGAGAAGACGCAGGAGUCGUAUCCUUGGUGGGAAGUGAAAUUCCAUCUCCUGGAUUCCUAGUGCCACCUGCGAAGCAGAAGGCUAGGCCCUUCCUGACGUGUGCCCACAGUCACUCGAGCUGAGGGGACUGCAGGGGAGCACACCUGAACAUAGCACUGCCCUUCAGCGGACCACAAAAGCGUCCAGUACUGAGCACAGGCAGAGGCCAGCACAACACCUUCAGGCUUUGGGAAGAAGUGGGGCAGGCAUUUGCCCCCCAAGAUCCCUGUUCAUCUUGCAGAAGACGGGAAAGAGAGCAUGGAUGCUGUGGUGGAAGGGGCUGAGAAAAGCAAACAGACUGCAGAGGAAGAACGUGCAAGGGAGAAAAUGGUCUGGCUUGUUGAAUGCUGGCGGCACGGUCCCUGCUGAGGUUUGCCAGAUGAUCGAGCAGUGGAAACCCAUCUCUACCCAUAUACCAGCAAGUUGCCCUCUUCCACCUAUGUUAUCUAGGAAGUCCCAUUGCUAAUAAAUUUACUGUGGAGUGAACCUGAUGGGAAAGCUUUUUACUUGACUACCCUACAGCACUGAGCAUUUUAAAUGAUCUUUUAUCCAGGGGCAUACAGUCACAUCAGACUUGGUACUGUGUGUCUGGGAGUGCGGCCUGGGGUAUCUGGAUGGAGCUUCUCUUGUGUGGGGAGGGCUGUGUUCACCUGCUGGUCCUAAAGGUAUGAAGGAGACCUACAGGUGGAAGAAGAAAGAGUCUGAGAGCACUGACCAUGGCAGCUGAUCAUAGAAGAAAUUACCUGCUCUCAGAGCCAGGGAACAGAAUGCAUGGGGUAUCUUGGUUCAGAGGGAAAUAAGAUGUCCAACCCUGCUAGCUGACCCUGACCACUUCAGUCUGCUCGGGGACAGCUGCAGGACAUUUACAUUGCAGAUGUUGGUCUGAUUGCAACCUGGAACCAGUCUGGAAAGUUUUUGCCAGCCACACUGACAGUCCAUAGAUAUAACUUUCUCUCCCAUAGAUACAACUUCAGCAUAUUUUUUAACAGUUCACAAGGGCUGGCCAGGCUCAGCAUUUGGGUGCAAGGCAGACACUGAAUUGCUUGUUGCUGUGCUUGUCCCACAGCAGCUACAGGCUUCUUUCUUCUGCUCUCUACCCAGCUGAGGUCCUGUCCACUAUGAGGAGCGACAGUGCUGGUGACUAAAUGAACGCUGUAGUGGUGUACAAAUGGAGAAAGGAUGACCCAAAUGAGACCUGGUCACCAGAGAUGCUCUUGUCAAUGUCUUAAACACAGCGGUGUUCAGCCUAAUGUCCUAGUCAGUUUAAUGUAUGUAAUGACAUUCACAUUACACCAGAUCUCCUCACACCCUCAACUGUGAUUUCAGUUCUUAUCCCCACAUCCCACAUAUUGAACUUUUACAUUCAGACAGUUGAAAGAGACUGAAUUCCUUGGGACAGUGACUGGUUUCCAUUUGCUCUGACAAGUACUAAUGGGGCUGAAUAAAUAGCAAAAAGUGGUCGUAAAGUAACAGGACAAUCAUUACCACAUUUCUUAAGCUGUUGCCUGGCACUGCUAGGUGCCAUUAGGUAUCUGCCACAUUAUGCCUUAGGAGCUUCUGGGUCUUUGCAGUGUUUGCUUUGUGUAAAUGAGAACAACUGCCAAGCUCUUCUGGCUUUGGUUUUGUCCAUACAACCCACGCAGAGGCUCAGGAGAUGGGCAGCAGCCAAGGCAGA